RNAcentral lists this ribosomal RNA (465 nucleotides) under uncultured bacterium. RNAcentral describes it as "partial 16S ribosomal RNA". It matches the Rfam family "Bacterial small subunit ribosomal RNA", at positions 338 to 795 of the family's 1533-position model. The record is from RNAcentral.
CCUACGGGAGGCUGCAGUGGGGAAUCUUCCACAAUGGGCGAAAGCCUGAUCCAGCAACGCCGCGUGUGUGAAGAAGGUCUUCGGAUCGUAAAACCCUGUUGUUAGAGAAGAAAGUGCGUGAGUGUCACUGUUCACGUUUCGCCCGUAUCUAACCAGACAGGCCCGGCGAACUACGUGCCAGCCGCCGAGGUACUACGUAGGUGGCAAGCGUUAUCCGGAUUUCUUGGGCGUAAAGGGACCGCAGGCGGUCGUUUAAGUAUGAUGUGAAAGCCUUCGGCUUAACCGGAGUAGGGCAUUGGAAACUGGGAGACUUGAGUGCAGAAGAGGAGAGUGGAACGCCAUGGGUAGCGGUGAAAUGCGUAGAUAUAUGGAAGAACACCAGUGGCGAAAGCGGCUCUCUGGUCUGUAACUGACGCUGAGGUUCGAAAGCGUGGGUAGCAAACAGGAUUAGAUACCCGGGUAGUC